This 76-nucleotide transfer RNA is filed under the name Pelagicoccus enzymogenes. RNAcentral's name for it is "tRNA-Phe". It matches the Rfam family "tRNA". From Rfam's summary of the family: Transfer RNA (tRNA) molecules are approximately 80 nucleotides in length. Their secondary structure includes four short double-helical elements and three loops (D, anti-codon, and T loops). Further hydrogen bonds mediate the characteristic L-shaped molecular structure. tRNAs have two regions of fundamental functional importance: the anti-codon, which is responsible for specific mRNA codon recognition, and the 3' end, to which the tRNAs corresponding amino acid is attached (by aminoacyl-tRNA synthetases). tRNAs cope with the degeneracy of the genetic code in two manners: having more than one tRNA (with a specific anti-codon) for a particular amino acid; and 'wobble' base-pairing, i.e. permitting non-standard base-pairing at the 3rd anti-codon position. RNAcentral also lists the same sequence under 4 other names. Lineage: Bacteria; Pseudomonadati; Verrucomicrobiota; Opitutia; Puniceicoccales; Pelagicoccaceae. The record is from RNAcentral.
GGCGGGUUAGCUCAGUUGGUAGAGCAGAGGACUGAAAAUCCUUGUGUCCCCGGUUCGAUUCCGGGACCCGCCACCA